UACGGGGGAUGCAAGCGUUAUCCGGAAUUAUUGGGCGUAAAGGGUCCUGAGGUGGCUAGCCAAGUCUAUUGUGAAAUAUCAGGGCUUAACCCUGAACAUGCGGUGGAAACUAGAAAGCUUGAGUACAGUAGGGGCGGAGGGAAUUCCGGUGGAGCGGUGAAAUGCAUAGAUAUCGGGAAGAACACCAACGGCGAAAGCACUCCGCUGGGCUGAUACUGACACUGAGAGACGAAAGCUAGGGGAGCGAAUGGG
Molecule: ribosomal RNA, 252 nt
Filed under: uncultured bacterium
Lineage: Bacteria
Description: partial 16S ribosomal RNA
Rfam family: Bacterial small subunit ribosomal RNA
Source: RNAcentral